AGGAUCAUUUGCAAUGGGCGAAAGCCUGACAAUGCGACGCUGCGUGCAGGAUGAAGGCCUUCGGGUUGUAAACUGCUGUUAGGAGGGAAAAGGACGCGGCCCCGAACAAGGGCUGCCGUUUGAUUGUACCUCCAGAGAAAUUCGCGGCUAACUCUGUGCCAGCAGCCGCGGUAAUACAGAGGCGACAAGCGUUGUUCGGAUUUACUGGGCGUAAAGCGUGCGCAGGCGGCGGGACAUGUCCAAUGUGAAAUCCCGGGGCCCAGCCCCGGAAGUGCAUUGGAAACCGUCCCGCUGGAGGCUGGGAAGGGAGUCUGGAACACACGGUGUAGCGGUGAAAUGCGUUGAUAUCGUGUGGAACACCGGAAGCGAAGGCGAGACUCUGGAACGGCACUGACGCUCAUGCACGAAAGCGUGGGGAGCAAACA
RNAcentral lists this ribosomal RNA (425 nucleotides) under uncultured bacterium. RNAcentral describes it as "bacterial SSU rRNA". It matches the Rfam family "Bacterial small subunit ribosomal RNA", at positions 358 to 774 of the family's 1533-position model. The record is from RNAcentral.